CCUACGGGUGGCAGCAGUGAGGAAUAUUGGUCAAUGGGCGCGAGCCUGAACCAGCCAAGUAGCGUGAAGGAUGACUGCCCUACGGUUUGUAAACUUCUUUUAUAAAGGAAUAAAGUGAGGCACGUGUGCAUUUUUGUAUGUCCUUUAUGAAUCAGGCUCGGCUAGCUCCGUGCAAGCAGCCGCGGUAAUACGGAGGAUCCGAGCGUUAUCCGGAGUUAUUGGGUUUAAUGGGAGCGUAGAUGGGAUGUUAAGUCAGAUGUGAAAGCUUGCGGCUCAACCGUAAGAUUGCAAUGGAUACUGGGAGCCUUGAGUACAGUUGAGGUAGGCGGAAUUCGUGGUGUAGCGGUGAAAUGCGUAGAUAUCACGAAGAACUCCGAUUGCGAAGGCAGCUUACUAAACUGCAACUGACAUUGAUGCUCGAAAGUGUGGGUAUCAAACAGGAUUAGAUACCCGUGUAGUC
Molecule: ribosomal RNA, 460 nt
Filed under: uncultured bacterium
Lineage: Bacteria
Description: partial 16S ribosomal RNA
Rfam family: Bacterial small subunit ribosomal RNA
Source: RNAcentral